Molecule: long non-coding RNA, 5656 nt
Organism: Cryptomeria japonica (Japanese cedar)
Lineage: Eukaryota; Viridiplantae; Streptophyta; Pinopsida; Cupressales; Cupressaceae
Exons: 9
Source: RefSeq, a predicted model, not a curated record
AAAGGUGUGUAGGAGACAACCAGCAAUAAACGGGAGAGGGGAAGGUGAUGGAGGGUAAGGCUGGACAUGCCAUUACUGGGCAUGGUUACUCAGUCUUCACAGGAAGAAGAAAACAAACCUACCGUAUGGAAAAUGGGGGGUGUUUACCUUUAAAAAACCCCUCAACAAGCUGUGUGGGGGGUAGCAAGAAGGAGAAGAAUAGAGGCAUGGAUAGGAGAAAGAGAAGCCUAAGAGUAAAGGUGUGGCAUUUUGGAGACAGGAGAGAAAGUUUUUGUGCCCUCGCGGGUUCUUUCUCUACAAAUUUUAUUUACAAAAUCUCUGAUUUUCUUUAUGAUGAUUCUAUCACUAAAUUGCUGGCAAAUGAUUAGAAUAGAAAACACUUUAGGAAUUGAACAUACAACAGAAGAAAUCUUCCACCCCUUAGCAUUAAGCUUCAAUUGUAGGUCGAAUUAGUAAUAAGGCUGAUCUAGGUACUUAGAUAAUGAACCAAAUGCUGCACAAAGGUGAUCACUGUAGGUAUGUUGCUGUGUAUGAGAUGCUGUGGAGGUUAAGUUUUAAAAGAAUUAAUUUAUGAAAUUAGAUUUGCAAGUGGAAAUUCCCUAUUAAUGCAGUUAAGGAAUACUAGCUUCAAACACCUUGUUUUUGUUGAGAAAUGAUUUUGCAACUACUCCACAUGUAAUGUUUUUGUUGAGAAAUUUCCUUUAAACUUUGUUAGUUAUAGUCCCUUCAGUCAAUCCUCAUAGAUGACGCUAAAAUCUGCUUUAGAAGAUGUUAGAUAUCUCUUUUCAGCCUUGUUAAUCAAUUUUGUUAGAAGUUAAAAAAAAAGUUGCAGCUAGUAUUACCAUAAAAUUACUCCAGUUCGUCAGUGAAGUGCAGCAGAUAACGAAGGUAGAUAAAUGGCAGCUAAGGGACGAAAUGGGUUGUUUGCAUAUGGGGAAUAUUAUUAAAAAUAAAAUAAAUGAGUAAAGCUCAGUCAGCUGAAAAUGGUGAAGCAAAUAGAGGCAAAUAUCUAUACAUAGAAAUAAAUGAGUAAACAUAAACUCUUACUCAACUUCAAUAACCAUUAAAUAUUAGAAGAAACCACCAGUAAAUGUGAUGAAGUAAAUGAGUUUUAGUUCUGGCAAUCAUCAACUUAAUAGCCUCUGUUAUGGACUAAGUAGUUGGGUUGCCAUAUAGAUGAGUAAACUACUAGUUUGAGGCUCUCGGGUUAAGUUACCGGCGAUGGGCUUCCUAAGAGAGCUAAGACACCAAUAUGCCCUAUAUCUGCCAUUAUAACAACCCCUUCUCAAUGCUGAAUUUGACUUUAAUGAGCCAUGGCUAAGGGAAUGAUCAUGGGGAAUCUUGCUGCCACUAAUCAUAUACCACUUGAAACUAAACUUUUAAAUUAAAUUGAGAUUGUCGUGCAAUUCAUGGAAGUUGGAUCUUGCUGACUUGAGUUCAUUCAACUUCCUUCUUGAUGGAUACACAUCUAGUUAGUUGGAACCGACCAUAGUUGAAGCUUCUUUGUAUACAUAUCUAGUUGGAGUCACCAUAGAAUGAUAGGAAGACUCGGGCUAGAGAUGACCCAAGAAUUGAACCUCCAGGAUUAUUGAAGCGGUGACAAGCAGUCAUUGGACCGUGCCAAUGAUCGAUGCUUGUACCAUUGCUAGGGAUUAGCCAACCUUCACCUAGUCCAUGGAGGUGAAGAUUGCUAAGAGCUACCCUGGAUAUGAUACGGGAACAAUCGUACGGGUAGUGAUAACCGGAGCUAAUCAUAGUAUCGGAGGGUACAUGGGUAGUUACCUAUAGCACAGGGGUGACCAAUGCCAAGUGCUACCCGAGAUGGGGAAGAAGUUAGAUGACUAUACCACUAAGGUCACAAGGUGAUAUCAGUCGGAAGCUAAUUCUCCUAGGUGGACAGACUCUUCAGCGUUGAAGGUCACUACUUGGGAAUUCUCUGAUAAGCUCGUAUAACCCUUGGGUUCGAGGACAGAUCACAGUGUAGUAUGAGAUACACCGAAUCCCCUACCCAGACAACCAAUGCUUAGAGACCCCUACUUGCCACCAUUGCUACUGGUGCAAAAGCUCAAGAAAUGGAAGGGACCCAUGGUGUAGUGCGCAUUACACCAGCAAUCCUUUUCUAAUGAGAAGCGCUUGAAUUGAUGGGAGUAAGUCAUAUUAUACCUACCUACAUACCCUGUGCAUAAUUAGUACCCAACCCUACUGUGAAGAUGACAUAUCCUCAGCGUAGGAUGAGAUGGCUUGAAGCCUCCUGGCAGUAGAGUUCUAAUAAAGACUGCCAUCUAACAAGCCUAAACCUAUGCCCUUUCUAGUUGAUCCAAAGAUAGUUUGCUAGGUCCGCUUGGAUGGGGUGGACGGGGCAGUGGUUCACAUGGUUGGGAUUGUUACACCCCAUGAAGAUGCCCUUCUCUAGUUGAUCCAAACAUAGUUCACUAGGUCCACUUGGAUGGGGUGGACGGGGCAGCGGUUCACAUGGUUGGGAUUGUUACACCCCAUGAAGAAGCAAAAGAGAACCAAAAAAAUUGAUUUGUUGCCCUUCUCUAGUUGAUCCAGCGAUAGUUUGCUAGGUCUGCUUGGAUGGGGUGGAUGGGGCAGCAGUUCAUGUGGUUGGGAUUGUUGCACCCCAUGAAGAAACAAAAGAGAACCAAAACAAUCUGGAUGUUCAACACAACUCUUACUAUCUUCCUGGCCAGAGUAGAAGAAAGAGGUGGAAAAAAGAGGAGAGGCAGAGCAACCAAGGACAAAAUCUUAUUCCUGGCAUUGAGUUAAUCUUCUCCUGCAUAGCUAAUUUAUUUGGAUUUUCUAUCAACCACAAAUCCCAUGGAGAGGUCCCUAUUCAACUCCUAGUAUGACAGCUUGGUUUUGAAGGAUCAGUAUCUGGAAAUCAGGAUCACUAUUUGGUUUUCAAUUAUCAUUAUCUGGAAAUCAGUACAAGUUUCACUGUAUGGGUUGGGAGAGAACACACGGGUCAAUGGGGUUAAGAUUCUUCCAAAUGAAGCUUAUGCUCUUUAUACAACUGAUAUUGAUAUCUUUAAUUUAAAGUUUUAAACAUAGAUUUGUAUGGCUCCCCUCUUUUUCACAGGGAUUCAAGAAAGGGAGGUUCAGCAUAGAGUCCUAUUGAUGAAUAGCUAUGAGAUGGAUACUUUUUAUACAGCCAGUAAACUAACAUACAAGGACAUUGGGGUUUGCAGAACUUUACUGUUUUGCAGGUUCGUCUCCACUAGAUAUGGUUCAACAGUUCAUUGAUCUCAUAGGACAUACAACUGCAAUGCCCUUUUGGGUUUCUGGUAUGUCCAUACAUGCUCUGUUCUAUAGUCUUUUUAGUGUAGCAUGGUAUUGUUUGUUGGCUUUCUAAAUAUUUAGUAAGCUGAAGUAUCAGCUAACUGAUAUUUGUUUGGUUACGUAUUUUACCGAGUAGUAAAGUUUGUUUACCAUUGGAAUCUAGUAAUUUUGCUUUAGGGUUUAAUAUAUUUUUGGAUUCCUUGUUUCAGGAGCUCUCAUAGGUAUGUUGGAUUUAUUCAUUUUCUUUAAUAGUUCAAAUGAAAUACAGGGAUAUGAUUUUCCUUAGCUUCAGGUUAGCAGGUUUUAUAAAAUAGAGAAUGAAAUCCCAUUUUCUAGUAUUGAGAUAUUUGGAAUAUUUUGAAAUAUAUUAGGUAGGUGCCAUUGUUUUGUUCAAGGAAAAACUAAUGGGAUUAUUUGUGGGCAGUAUUAAUACAAAGAAGCUACAAUCAUUGAAAUUGACGUGCUUGAUGAGGUUGACAUGAAUGAAUACAAAAGGGGAUCUGAUAACAUUUUAGAUUGUUUUCAUACCAUUUUGUGUGACUAACUGCCUUUAAUUGCCUUUAAUAUGUGUGUUUCUUGUGUAUACCAUUAUUUGGUUACAGACAUUUUUUCCGUUUUGUUAUUGUCCAUUUCUGUCAAUGUUUUGUUUUGUCUUUUGUUAUUUCUCUUUGUUUGUUCAAUUUUUUUUCAUGUGUGUGUUUUGUUUUUAUUUUUUAUUUUUUUCUGUAUAGUGUGCACGCUGGUCUGUCUGUUUAUCUUUUUUUUCCAUUUAUAUGUGGUCUGUCUGUUUAUCUUACUCAUCUUUUAUUUGUUCUAUUAUGUUUUGUUUUAUUUUGGUGUCACACAUUUGUGGAGGAGCAAAGGAAGAGCCAAACAAGUAAGAGGCAGAGCAACCAAGGGCAAAAUGUUCUUCCACGCAAUUCUUCUUAGGCACCCACCAAUCUUUAAUUUCAAGAGGUCAAAGUUGUGAAUAUCAAGUUUUUCGCUGGCAUAAAUAACAAUGACGUUCAGCUGGUGUAUGGCACGAGAUGCAGAACCCAACAAGAGUUCAUAUAACCGAUGCAGAGAAGUAGAUAUGGGAAGUUCCUUAUGACUUGCAUGGUAGAUCACAAGUAGCUUCUCUGAGGCAAUGAGUAGAUCACAUAGCUAAUCCAGUGUUUGAAUUCUCUGUGUUCUAAGGCAAUGAGUUGAUCUUCUUCAGCACCGCUAAUCCAUUUUGAUUUUCUAUCGAGCGCAAAUCCUAUUCAACUCCUCAUAUAGCAACUUGGUCUUCAUUCAGUAUAUGUUACUUCCGUAAGAAUUUAUAACCAAUGGUAGCCUUAGUGAGUUGAUUUUGGUUGGGUGAGCAGAUACAAAAUUGUUGAGGGGAAUGGCUCAGGGGUUGUGCUUGGAGAGAUGUGAAGCCAACUAAUGGUCAGUCACAUGUCGGCUUGGAUGGCUGAUUUUUGCUUAGCCAAACUCAUGGAGAGGGAAGCCAACCAUGUGCUCCAACACAUACACUGCACCAGGUAUUGGUAGCAGGCAUAUGUAGCAAGCUUACUAUUGUAGAAUGAAUAUGAAGAUGAAAAACACAGGGAAAAUUCUUCUGUUUGUGAUGUGUAUCACACUGAUUCCCAUUAAAGGCAGCCCAUUAAACAAUGUAUUGGUAGCGGGCAUAUGUAGCAAGCCUACCAUUGUAGUAUGAAUAUGAAGAUGAAAAACACGGGGAAAAUUGUUCUGUUUGUGAUGUGUAUCACACUUAUUCUCAUUAAAGGCAGCCCAUUAAACAAUGUGAAUACAGAAAUCACUGCAAUACUUAACACAGGAGGGACUUUUGCUGCUGAAGCUCCACCACCUCUCCCACAAAUUACUGGGCUGGCCUUUUUGUAUGACAUGUGCACAACACCAACUGAUCCUAAUCCUCAGAUAACUGAAUUCUGUACCUGCAUACAGCUGCAAUGCCCACUAGGCUUCUGCAUGUUGCAGGGAAAAAUAUUCUUGGAAUAGGUAGGUUGAAGGCGACAACAAUGAGUGUCUUAAUACCUUGAUAACAAGGAGAUCUCAAAGAGAGUUGACCAAUUUUUUGAACUAGUUAUUUUUCACAAUUAUAGUUGGAGAAAGCCUAUGACUGACAUAUCUAGUGUGUAUCUAGAGAAGCAAGGGAUUAAAUUAGGCAUUGACCUAAUAUCAUUGUAACAUGUACAAAUAUAUCAUUUAACAAUAAAGUUUUUUUAUUGGAAGGGGCUAAAAACACCUUUUAAAGACCAAAGCGAAUAAUCAGUGGCCAUGGUUAUUCGUUAAGGUCGUGUGUUUGUUCAACUCCUUAAAGAAUGGUUGAUAGGCCAAGACCAUUCUUUAAGAUAAUAUAUAUCUCCUUCUUUGGAUUUUUGAAUAA